RNAcentral lists this ribosomal RNA (887 nucleotides) under Psychrobacter sp. 22F07-MB2-3. RNAcentral describes it as "bacterial SSU rRNA". It matches the Rfam family "Bacterial small subunit ribosomal RNA", at positions 576 to 1465 of the family's 1533-position model. Lineage: Bacteria; Pseudomonadati; Pseudomonadota; Gammaproteobacteria; Moraxellales; Moraxellaceae. The record is from RNAcentral.
UGGCUUGAUAAGUCAGAUGUGAAUCCCCGGGCUUAACCUGGGAACUGCAUCUGAUACUGUUAGGCUAGAAUAGGUGAGAGGAAGGUAGAAUUCCAGGUGUAGCGGUGAAAUGCGUAGAGAUCUGGAGGAAUACCGAUGGCGAAGGCAGCCUUCUGGCAUCAUAUUGACACUGAGGUUCGAAAGCGUGGGUAGCAAACAGGAUUAGAUACCCUGGUAGUCCACGCCGUAAACGAUGUCUACUAGUCGUUGGGUCCCUUGAGGACUUAGUGACGCAGCUAACGCAAUAAGUAGACCGCCUGGGGAGUACGGCCGCAAGGUUAAAACUCAAAUGAAUUGACGGGGGCCCGCACAAGCGGUGGAGCAUGUGGUUUAAUUCGAUGCAACGCGAAGAACCUUACCUGGUCUUGACAUAUCUAGAAUCUUGUAGAGAUACGAGAGUGCCUUCGGGAAUUAGAAUACAGGUGCUGCAUGGCUGUCGUCAGCUCGUGUCGUGAGAUGUUGGGUUAAGUCCCGCAACGAGCGCAACCCUUGUCCUUAGUUACCAGCGGGUUAAGCCGGGAACUCUAAGGAUACUGCCAGUGACAAACUGGAGGAAGGCGGGGACGACGUCAAGUCAUCAUGGCCCUUACGACCAGGGCUACACACGUGCUACAAUGGUAGGUACAGAGGGCAGCUACACAGCGAUGUGAUGCGAAUCUUUCAAAGCCUAUCGUAGUCCAGAUUGGAGUCUGCAACUCGACUCCAUGAAGUAGGAAUCGCUAGUAAUCGCGGAUCAGAAUGCCGCGGUGAAUACGUUUCCGGGCCUUGUACACACCGCCCGUCACACCAUGGGAACCGCUACACCAGAACCGGGUUCAGUAAGUAGUAACAAGAACCCCCUAGAGUGU